GACGGAGGGGGCAAGCGUUGUCCGGAAUCACUGGGCGUAAAGCGCACGUAGGCGGGACGGUGCGUCGGUGCUGAAAGCGCCAGGCUUAACCUGGCGAGGCGUGCCGAUACGACCGACCUCGAGGCAGACAGAGGGUGGCGGAAUUCCGGGUGUAGUGGUGAAAUGCGUAGAGAUCCGGAGGAACGCCGGUGGCGAAAGCGGCCACCUGGGUCUGACCUGACGCUGAGGUGCGAAAGCGUGGGGAGUAAACCGG
RNAcentral lists this ribosomal RNA (253 nucleotides) under uncultured bacterium. Its description in RNAcentral is "partial 16S ribosomal RNA". It matches the Rfam family "Bacterial small subunit ribosomal RNA", at positions 524 to 776 of the family's 1533-position model. The record is from RNAcentral.